CAGCCGCCACGGGAAUACGAAGGGGGCUAGCGUUGUUCGGAUUUACUGGGCGUAAAGCGCACGUAGGCGGACUUUUAAGUCAGGGGUGAAAUCCCGGGGCUCAACCCCGGAACUGCCUUUGAUACUGAAAGUCUUGAGUAUGGUAGAGGUGAGUGGAAUUCCGAGUGUAGAGGUGAAAUUCGUAGAUAUUCGGAGGAACACCAGUGGCGAAGGCGGCUCACUGGACCAUUACUGACGCUGAGGUGCGAAAGCGUGGGGAGCAAACAGGAUUAGAUACCCCAGUAGUCCCUGUCUCUUAUAC
RNAcentral lists this ribosomal RNA (301 nucleotides) under uncultured bacterium. RNAcentral's name for it is "partial 16S ribosomal RNA". It matches the Rfam family "Bacterial small subunit ribosomal RNA", at positions 509 to 807 of the family's 1533-position model. The record is from RNAcentral.